RNAcentral lists this transfer RNA (87 nucleotides) under hydrothermal vent metagenome. RNAcentral describes it as "tRNA-Leu-TAA". It matches the Rfam family "tRNA". Rfam says of the family: Transfer RNA (tRNA) molecules are approximately 80 nucleotides in length. Their secondary structure includes four short double-helical elements and three loops (D, anti-codon, and T loops). Further hydrogen bonds mediate the characteristic L-shaped molecular structure. tRNAs have two regions of fundamental functional importance: the anti-codon, which is responsible for specific mRNA codon recognition, and the 3' end, to which the tRNAs corresponding amino acid is attached (by aminoacyl-tRNA synthetases). tRNAs cope with the degeneracy of the genetic code in two manners: having more than one tRNA (with a specific anti-codon) for a particular amino acid; and 'wobble' base-pairing, i.e. permitting non-standard base-pairing at the 3rd anti-codon position. The record is from RNAcentral.
GCCCGAGUGGCGGAAUAGGUAGACGCACGGGACUUAAAAUCCCGAGGGGGAAACCUCGUGCCGGUUCGAUUCCGGCCUCGGGUACCA